CCACGAAGAGCACCAAAAUUCGAGUAUAACGCGAGGAACAAAAAAAAUAAGCACAGAUUAGAAAAGGGAAAGAAUAGAGAAAGAAACUCAAGUCAGAAUUUCUAGAAGAGAGAGAAAAGAAAUUUUGAAAACAAAAUAAAAAUAAAAUAAAAUCCCACUAUAUCUAUUCUAACCUCCCACUAACCACCAAAUCCCACUAACUCAUAACUCCCUCAGAAUUUUAGCUCUACCGAAACUCUAUCAGACAAUCGAGCAAAAUUAGCACCCCC
Molecule: long non-coding RNA, 269 nt
Filed under: Gossypium raimondii (Peruvian cotton)
Lineage: Eukaryota; Viridiplantae; Streptophyta; Magnoliopsida; Malvales; Malvaceae
Description: long non-coding RNA (GRAI_LNC001183)
Source: RNAcentral